Molecule: non-coding RNA, 670 nt
Organism: Monodelphis domestica (gray short-tailed opossum)
Lineage: Eukaryota; Metazoa; Chordata; Mammalia; Didelphimorphia; Didelphidae
Source: RefSeq, a predicted model, not a curated record
UUAUACAGUCUUAGAACAAGACAAGAUAUGCAGCACUUUCAGCCACCAGGGACAAAUGAGAGUGAAGUUUGGGAAAUAAAGCUUAGCUGGGUUUUUGUUGUUGUUUUCCUCUCCAGUGACCUCCCUCCACUCAGUUGGAAGACUUGGAGAGAUUUAACAAAGUACAAAAGUCAACAAACAUCCAUUGAGUUUAGAAUGUUGACGGUGAGGUAAUAAUGGGAGUGGAAAUAAGAGUGAAACAAGCAAAGAGAUGACCAAUACUGGAUAGUGGGAACAAAGCAGACCACCAGACAAAAUUCACCAUGAAUAAUCAACCUUGCAGAGAAGUGGGGAAAUGGACCAUUGAACUUAAAGGAAAUCUGCAUUCUAGUCCUAUACAGUUCUGGAUGACUUGGAACACAUUCCCUCUUCUCAAGGAAUUUCAAACUUCUCAUUUGAAAAACAGAAAUAACAAUAACUGAGAAGUCUAUAUGUUGUCAUGAUGAUUAAAAAGAGGAGACUUGAAAAGCACUGUAAAAAUUCAUUCAUUCAUUCAUUCAUUUGACAAAUAUGUAUUAGGACCCUGUUAUAAGCAACUCAUUUCUUGAAUGGUGAUUUAGGGCAGCAGAUAAAUAAGACAUUCAAGAACUUUACUGUCUGGUAUGAGUAAGAAGGCAUGCACAAAUGAAUA